AGUGGCGGACGGGUGAGUAACGCGUGAGAAUCUGCCUUGGGGUCGGGGACAACCACUGGAAACGGUGGCUAAUACCGGAUAAGCCGAUUGGUGAAAGAUUUAUUGCCCGAAGAGGAGCUCGCGUCUGAUUAGCUAGUUGGUGAGGUAAGAGCUCACCAAGGCAGCGAUCAGUAGCUGGUCUGAGAGGACGAUCAGCCACACUGGGACUGAGACACGGCCCAGACUCCUACGGGAGGCAGCAGUGGGGAAUUUUCCGCAAUGGGCGAAAGCCUGACGGAGCAAGACCGCGUGAGGGAGGAAGGCUCUUGGGUUGUAAACCUCUUUUCUCAGGGAAGAAGAUCUGACGGUACCUGAGGAAUCAGCCUCGGCUAACUCCGUGCCAGCAGCCGCGGUAAUACGGAGGAGGCAAGCGUUAUCCGGAAUUAUUGGGCGUAAAGCGUCCGCAGGUGGCGAUUCAAGUCUGCUGUCAAAGCACGGGGCUUAACUCCGUAAAGGCAGUGGAAACUGAAUAGCUAGAGUGCCGUAGGGGUAGAGGGAAUUCCCGGUGUAGCGGUGAAAUGCGUUGAGAUCGGGAAGAACAUCGGUGGCGAAAGCGCUCUACUGGACGGCAACUGACACUCAGGGACGAAAGCUAGGGGAGCGAAUGGGAUUAGAUACCCC
This 660-nucleotide ribosomal RNA is filed under the name uncultured bacterium. RNAcentral's name for it is "bacterial SSU rRNA". It matches the Rfam family "Bacterial small subunit ribosomal RNA", at positions 94 to 788 of the family's 1533-position model. The record is from RNAcentral.